RNAcentral lists this ribosomal RNA (496 nucleotides) under uncultured bacterium. RNAcentral describes it as "partial 16S ribosomal RNA". It matches the Rfam family "Bacterial small subunit ribosomal RNA", at positions 28 to 506 of the family's 1533-position model. The record is from RNAcentral.
GACGAACGCUGGCGGCGUGCCUAAUACAUGCAAGUUGAGCGCUGAAGGUUGGUACUUGUACCAACUGGAUGAGCAGCGAACGGGUGAGUAACGCGUGGGGAAUCUGCCUUUGAGCGGGGGACAACAUUUGGAAACGAAUGCUAAUACCGCAUAAAAACUUUAAACACAAGUUUUAAGUUUGAAAGAUGCAAUUGCAUCACUCAAAGAUGAUCCCGCGUUGUAUUAGCUAGUUGGUGAGGUAAAGGCUCACCAAGGCGAUGAUACAUAGCCGACCUGAGAGGGUGAUCGGCCACAUUGGGACUGAGACACGGCCCAAACUCCUACGGGAGGCAGCAGUAGGGAAUCUUCGGCAAUGGACGAAAGUCUGACCGAGCAACGCCGCGUGAGUGAAGAAGGUUUUCGGAUCGUAAAACUCUGUUGGUAGAGAAGAACGUGGGUGAGAGUGGAAAGCUCAUCAAGUGACGGUAACUACCCAGAAAGGGACGGCUAACUACGU